This 680-nucleotide ribosomal RNA is filed under the name Bacillus paralicheniformis. RNAcentral's name for it is "bacterial SSU rRNA". It matches the Rfam family "Bacterial small subunit ribosomal RNA", at positions 81 to 745 of the family's 1533-position model. Lineage: Bacteria; Bacillati; Bacillota; Bacilli; Caryophanales; Bacillaceae. The record is from RNAcentral.
GCUCCCUGAUGUUAGCGGCGGACGGGUGAGUAACACGUGGGUAACCUGCCUGUAAGACUGGGAUAACUCCGGGAAACCGGGGCUAAUACCGGAUGCUUGAUUGAACCGCAUGGUUCAAUUAUAAAAGGUGGCUUUUAGCUACCACUUACAGAUGGACCCGCGGCGCAUUAGCUAGUUGGUGAGGUAACGGCUCACCAAGGCAACGAUGCGUAGCCGACCUGAGAGGGUGAUCGGCCACACUGGGACUGAGACACGGCCCAGACUCCUACGGGAGGCAGCAGUAGGGAAUCUUCCGCAAUGGACGAAAGUCUGACGGAGCAACGCCGCGUGAGUGAUGAAGGUUUUCGGAUCGUAAAACUCUGUUGUUAGGGAAGAACAAGUACCGUUCGAAUAGGGCGGUACCUUGACGGUACCUAACCAGAAAGCCACGGCUAACUACGUGCCAGCAGCCGCGGUAAUACGUAGGUGGCAAGCGUUGUCCGGAAUUAUUGGGCGUAAAGCGCGCGCAGGCGGUUUCUUAAGUCUGAUGUGAAAGCCCCCGGCUCAACCGGGGAGGGUCAUUGGAAACUGGGGAACUUGAGUGCAGAAGAGGAGAGUGGAAUUCCACGUGUAGCGGUGAAAUGCGUAGAGAUGUGGAGGAACACCAGUGGCGAAGGCGACUCUCUGGUCUGUAACUGACG